RNAcentral lists this unclassified non-coding RNA (22 nucleotides) under Mus musculus (house mouse). Its description in RNAcentral is "oocyte_clustered_small_RNA9018". The record is from RNAcentral. Lineage: Eukaryota; Metazoa; Chordata; Mammalia; Rodentia; Muridae.
UGAUUAUGGGUGGAUUCCUGGA